ACUGAACAGAUGCUAUACGAUAACAACAGAUGAUGCCUAUCAACUGUUUAAAAGAUGGUUCUGCUAUCACUCUUGGAUGGACCUGCGGUGCAUUAGCUAGUUGGUAGGGUAACGGCCUACCAAGGCGAUGAUGCAUAGCCGAGUUGAGAGACUGAUCGGCCACAUUGGGACUGAGACACGGCCCAAACUCCUACGGGAGGCAGCAGUA
RNAcentral lists this ribosomal RNA (208 nucleotides) under uncultured Lactobacillus sp. RNAcentral's name for it is "partial 16S ribosomal RNA". It matches the Rfam family "Bacterial small subunit ribosomal RNA", at positions 154 to 355 of the family's 1533-position model. Lineage: Bacteria; Bacillati; Bacillota; Bacilli; Lactobacillales; Lactobacillaceae. The record is from RNAcentral.